UAGAUGGAUGCCUGCUGGUUUGGGCGCUUAGCUGUUAACUAGGAUCUUGAGGGGUCGAGGCCCUCCCAUCUAC
This 73-nucleotide transfer RNA is filed under the name Rhinomuraena quaesita (ribbon moray). RNAcentral's name for it is "tRNA-Asn". Lineage: Eukaryota; Metazoa; Chordata; Actinopteri; Anguilliformes; Muraenidae. The record is from RNAcentral.